AUGGCUGGUGACCCGAUCCUCCUCACAGUGAACGCUAAGCGGUACAAGACCUUCUUCUACUGCAACUCCGUCGCCUUCGUAGCCUCUUUGGUGGCCAUCAUCCUGGUACAAAGCAAGGUUAUGCUCCAGACCCAUGUCCUCCAGGCAGCCAUGAUACUGGACUUGUUUGGCCUCAUCGGAGCAUAUGCUGCGGGAAGCUCUCGGGACUUGACCACCUCCAUUUACGCCAUGGCCUUGCACUGCUGA
RNAcentral lists this ribosomal RNA (246 nucleotides) under Triticum aestivum (bread wheat). Its description in RNAcentral is "partial small subunit ribosomal RNA". Lineage: Eukaryota; Viridiplantae; Streptophyta; Magnoliopsida; Poales; Poaceae. The record is from RNAcentral.